This is a long non-coding RNA of Pseudoliparis swirei, 695 nucleotides long. RefSeq lists it as uncharacterized. The transcript is spliced from 3 exons. The record is from RefSeq and is a predicted model, not a curated record. NCBI's taxonomy places the organism in Eukaryota, Metazoa, Chordata, Actinopteri, Perciformes, Liparidae.
AGAAGAAGAAGAAGAAGACCAGAAGAAGUCAACAGUCCCGCCUUUGCUGCUGCAUCCCAUCAACUCCUGAAGUUCAGACCAAGACGUCCCCUGUGAGGUCAAGAGGACAUGACGUGCCAUGAAGACUGGUGGCUGUGACUGAACCUCAGAAGACUCAACACACAGGAUCCUUCAGGAGUUGAUGUGGAGACCUGUGACACCGGCAGCCGGAACGCCGCUGACACCGAGGAUGACUCGGAUAACACGACGUGCAGAUAAAACACACACCGACGUGAACCCUCGCUCAUCAUACUUCCUUCCAUUCAACUAAACCAACUAAAAUCCUUUCCAUAAUGUUUCUCUUUGAUAAGCCUACGCUUACUGAUUACUCAAAGUAUCACCAGAUUAUAUGUUUUGUAUCUAAAAAUCCUAAUUUCAGGGUAUUUUGCGCAGUUUAUACAUUUACUCACAAAUAAAGCAAUACUGCAAUAUAAAAGUCGUGCAGUAUAAGUACGACUUAAAUAAAGUAUAUCAAUUAAAUGAUCAACGGUAAAAGGAAUUCACUAUCAUAAUGCAUCAUUAUUUAUAACAUGACAGUAAAAGUACCGAUGCCUUAGUAUCAAAAUGAGGUAGAUAUGGUACACUUCUAAUCUACAUGUUAAAUAGUUAUACCGGCUGCCAAAUAAAUGCAUUCAAUGUGUGUUUUCCUUGAACUG